CUACGGGGUGCACCAGUGGGGAAUAUUGGGCAAUGGGUGCAAGCCUGACCCAGCAACGCCGCGUGAGGGAAGAAGGUUUUCGGAUUGUAAACCUCUGUCCUUGGGGACGAAGAAGUGAAGGUACCCAAGGAGGAAGCUCCGGCUAACUACGUGCCAGCAGCCGCGGUAAUACGUAGGGAGCAAGCGUUGUCCGGAAUUACUGGGCGUAAAGGGUGCGUAGGCGGCAUAUUAAGUCAGGUGUGAAAUACUCGGGCUCAACCCGAGGGGUGCAUUUGAAACUGAUAAGCUUGAGUGUGAGAGAGGAAAGUGGAAUUCCUAGUGUAGCGGUGGAAUGCGUAGAUAUUAGGAGGAACACCAGUGGCGAAGGCGACUUUCUGGCUCAUAACUGACGCUGAGGCACGAAAGCGUGGGGAGCAAACAGGAUUAGAUACCCGAGUAGUC
Molecule: ribosomal RNA, 441 nt
Filed under: uncultured bacterium
Lineage: Bacteria
Description: partial 16S ribosomal RNA
Rfam family: Bacterial small subunit ribosomal RNA
Source: RNAcentral